ACUAUAGAGCUUUUAGUGGAUGCCUAAGGCAUUAAGAAAGAUUAGACGUUGUGAUUACGAAAAGCUUGAUGAUAGACAAUAGAUGUGUCUGAUAUCUCAAGAUUUCUGAUUGGGAAAACUAUAAAUGUGAAAUUAUAAGAUUUUCCCGUAAGAAUAUAAUAUUUGACCUUGCUAACUGAAACAUCUUAGUAGCAAGAGGAAAAGAAACCAACCGAGAUUCCGUUAGUAGUGGCGAGCGAAUGCGGAUCAGGCUUAUAUUCUAAUGGUCACAGCAUAGAAAAAUCUGGAAAGGUUUGCCAAAGACGGUGAAAGCCCUGUAAUAUGAUGUGCCAUUAAAAUUAAAGUAAGGUAAUACACGUGGAAUAUUGCCUGGAAACAAAGGAGGACCACCUUCUAAGCCUAAAUAUUUCUUAAUGACCGAUAGUGGACAAGUACCGUGAGGAAAGGUGAAAAGUAUUCUGAAAAGAUGGUGAAAUAGAUCCUGAAACUGAUUGCUUACGAGCUGUCGUAGCAAAUAUUGUAAUCUGUAACGCGUACCUUUUGCAUAAUGGGUCAGCAAGUGAAUGCAUACAGCAAGCUUAAGUCGUUAGAUGGAGGCAUAGUAACAACAAAUUUUGUAUUAAGUUGUAUGUUUUCGACCCGAAGCCGAGUGAUCUAUCCAUGAUCAGUUGAAGUGGCGGUAACACGUCAUGGAGACCGAACCCACGUAUGUGGAAAAAUACGGGGAUGAAUUGUGGAUAGGGGUGAAAGGCUAGUCAAACUCGUAGUAGCUGUUUUCUGCGAAAUCUAUUGAGGUAGAGCGUUGUCGAAUACUUAGCAUAGGAGGUGGAGCACUAGUUAGGCUAGGGGAGCCAAAAAACUUUACCGAACUUAAUUAACCUUCGAAUGCCUAUGGUGUACGAAACUUAUGUCCUUUUAAUUAUUUGAUAGUUAUUAAGAUUUUUAUAUCUUAAGUUAUACAUAUUUAAUUUAACGGCAACAGGCAGAAUAUGGGUGCUAAGAUCCGUAUUCAAAAGGGAAACAACCCAGAUCGCUAGCUAAGGUCCAAAAGAAUUAACUUAGUGGAUGAAAAUGUGAAUGUACGAAGAUUUUCGGGAGUGGGCUUAGAAGCAGCCAUCCUUUAAAGAAAGCGUAAUAGCUCACCGAAAAAGUAGUACUCUUUGCAUUUAAAAUGUAAAUGGACUCAAGUGAAUCACCGAAGCUGCGGAAUUAAAUAAACAAUUGGUAGCAGAACGUUCUAUAAAUGGUAGAAGAUAAAUUGGAAAAUUUAUUGAACAGAUUAGAAUUGAAAAUGCUGACAUGAGUAACGAUAAUUGAUGUAAAAAACAUCAUCGCCGAAAGUUCAAGGGUUCCUGUACACGGUAAAUCCGUACAGUGGUCAGCAGGUCCUAAGAUUUAAGCCAAUGCUUGAAUUAAUGGAAAUCUAGAAAAUAUCCUAGAGCCUUCAGAUUAGUGACAAAAAUUUAUUGCAUUUGAUAACUAAUUAGAUUGUUAUGAAUUCAAUAAUUUUUCUGGAAAUAGCUAUCUGUUUUUAUUCCAUAAUGCGAAUAAUAUUAUGUCUGUACCCGAAUCCGACACAGGUGAACUGGUAGAGUAUACUAAGCGUAUGAGAGAACAAUACUGAAGGAACUCGGCAAAAUGACUCCGUAACUUCGGAGAAGGGGUACUGCGGAUUUAUAAAGAUCCGUGUGUGGCACUGAACAGGGGGGGGCGACUGUUUAUCAAAAACACAGACUCUGCAAAAUUUAAGAAUGAUGUAUAGGGUCUGACAUCUGCCCGUGCUGGAAGAUUGAAGAUAACGACGUUUCCUAUAUGUGGAGGCUAAGUUUCCAAGUCCCAGUAAACGGCGGCCGUAACUAUGACGGUCCUAAGGUAGCGAAAUUCCUUGUCGGGUAAAUUCCGACGUGCAUGAAUGUGUAACGACUUUCCCACUGUCUCCAGUAUUGACUCAGUGAAAUUGAAAUUUCCGUGAACAUGCGAGUGCUGACGGCCAGACGGAAAGACCCCAUGCACUUUACUACAUCUUUAAAUUGUACAUGGUUCGAGAAUGUGUAGUAUAAAUAGGAGCUUUGGACAUCUUACUAUUUGGUAAUUAUGAAGGCGUAGCUGAAAUACUAUUUUUUCAUCUUACCAUUACUUAUGGAAGUAUUAUACUUCUAGACCGUUUAUGGAGGGUAGUUUGACUGGGGCGGUUGCCUGCUAAAAAGUAACGAGGCGCACAAAGGUAAGCUCACAUUGGAUGGAAACCAAUGAUUUGGGUGUAAUGCUUUUAAGCUUGCCUGACUACAAGACUUACAAGUCGCGUAGAGACGAAAGUCAGUCAUAGUGAUCCGGUGAUCCUGUGUGUAAGGUCAUCGCUCAACGGAUAAAAGGUACGCUGGGGAUAACAGCUUAUGACUCUCAAGAGACCGCAUCUACGGAGUUGUUUGGCACCUCGAUGUCGCUCAUCACAUCCUGGAGCUGAAGUAGUUCCAAGGGUUUGGCUGUUCGCCAAUUAAAGUGAUACGUGAGCUGGUUCAGAACGUCGUGAGACAGUUCGGUCCCUAUCUACCGUCAGUUUGAGAGAAUACUAGAUUUUUUUCCCUAGUACGAGAGAUCGGGAAAAGUACGCCUAUUGUGACCCGGUUGUUCUGCUUGGGGCAUCGCCGGAUAGCUACGCGUGACAAGAUAACUACUGAAAUCAUAUAAGUAGGAAACUUUAUCUAUGCUUAUUCUCUCAGAAGAAUAGUGAAAGAUUAUCACUUUGAUAGGGCAAGUGUGCACAUUUCGUGAGAAAUUGAAGCUGAUUGCUACUAAUUAUUCGUCAUUCUGUUUUUAU
Molecule: ribosomal RNA, 2818 nt
Filed under: Eukaryota sp. BB2
Lineage: Eukaryota
Rfam family: Bacterial large subunit ribosomal RNA
Source: RNAcentral